RNAcentral lists this small RNA (131 nucleotides) under Serratia ureilytica. RNAcentral describes it as "RtT sRNA". It matches the Rfam family "RtT RNA". Rfam says of the family: This family represents a bacterial cis-regulatory element known as RtT RNA. The exact function of RtT is unknown although it is thought that it may be involved in changing the cellular response in relation to amino acid starvation. Lineage: Bacteria; Pseudomonadati; Pseudomonadota; Gammaproteobacteria; Enterobacterales; Yersiniaceae. The record is from RNAcentral.
UUUUCGUCUGUACGUGAGAGGAUGAGAAUCUCCGAAGGAGGUUUGAGCCGAACGUAGUGAGACCACGUUGCUUUUAGCAACGGCCCGCAGGGCAAGCAUCGAAGAUGUGCAUAAUCCUCUCAUGCCGACCA